Molecule: transfer RNA, 69 nt
Filed under: Marmota monax (woodchuck)
Lineage: Eukaryota; Metazoa; Chordata; Mammalia; Rodentia; Sciuridae
Description: tRNA.Val
Source: RNAcentral
GGCUUGUGGCUCAGCGGCAGAGCGCUUGGCCUCACACGAUCGAGGCCCUGGGUUCGAUCCUCAGCACCA